This 1440-nucleotide unclassified non-coding RNA is filed under the name Octopus sinensis (East Asian common octopus). RNAcentral's name for it is "uncharacterized LOC115211069, transcript variant X1". The record is from RNAcentral. Lineage: Eukaryota; Metazoa; Mollusca; Cephalopoda; Octopoda; Octopodidae.
AGGAGGCCUGUGAUUGGCUAGCUUCCUUGGUUACCAAACACUACCAAAAUGACUUCCCAAAGUGACACAUACUCUUUCAGCCGAAGCAAUCCUUCUAUUGCACUCCGUCGGAUUCUCCUACUGCAGGCCCAUAUUCGUGGUUUUGUUGUCCGACAUCGGAUGAAAAAACUAAGAACAGAAUUUGAGGAAAUUAUGCAGGAAAUUCAUCCCAAUAGAAAUCUUCAUGUUGUUUGGAAAAGAAAUUUGUUAUGCUUACCUGAAUUUUCUUCAAAGAAAGAAAGUUGUAAACCAUUCCAGUUGAGUUCUAAACCAAAUAAAUCAAAACCUCCUGAACUUCUAACUAGACAAGAGAACCAUUCAAUUCCUGGAAAUUUUAACAAACAUUCUUCAAAAACAUCAGAUUCUUUGAACCGGUGUCUACAUAAUCAAACAUCUAUAAAUACCACUGAACAUUACAAUAUACAAGGAACUAAUAGUGAAAGAGACAAAGAAGUACAUAGAGGUGAAGAAUUGGUUGAAAAAGAUAAGAAUCAUAUUAUAGAAGACUCUAUUGAGUCAGAGCAACUGAAGAACGAGAGAAAAAUUUCCUUGCAUACGGACAGCAGUGAGACAGAUUUUGAUAGAAAAGCUCCAAAUCAUCGUGAUCAUUUAUUUAGAAAUGGAAAUGGUCUUCCAAGAAAUUCAAGAAAAGAACAGUUCAUGAAAAAUGGCAAUGGCUCCAUUUCUACAGCAUCAUUUUGUCUGCCUGUAUCUUCUCCUACACCAUUUGACUGUUCAUCUUUGACUGAUGUCACCUCAGUUUGGGACAGCACCCCAUCAUCUCCAGAUAUCACAUUAGAUGACAUCCAGGCUUCAGAAACUUCAAGCUCUUUGCUGCAGGAGAGACAGAAUUUGGCCAUGGAGUUAGUGUGGAUACAACAAGCAAUAUCAAGUCGGAAAAAUUAUCUCCAGCUGAAGUCUCAGAUUGAAACAUGAUUCCAUACCAAGCUUCAGCAUUUGACACAAGAGUUUUGAAAUAUGGAGAGUGUUCCUAUGGUUCAAUCAGCCAAAGAAUAAAUGAACCCUUGUGUUAGCAGUCUGUAUAUCAGUAGAGACUAACUACAAACAGUAUGGCUGGAGACUAUACACAAGACUGACUUUUAUUGGAGAGCUAACCAACAGAGGCAUGACUAGAAAAUAUGCUUUCCAACAGCCUCCCGGUGCAGCCAUGAAAGAAUGCAAAAGUUUCUCUGGUCUGUCAUGCCUAUUAAGGGGUGGGCACCAAAAGUGUGUUUGUUCUUGGAUACUGAGAAACUUUGUUAUGCUAUUGGAAAUCAGUACCUGUAUAUUACAGGUAUUUAUUUUAUUGAGCCCUGCAGGGAUAAGAUAAAGAACAAAGUCGACCCAUAAAGUAGAGAAAUAUAGUUCAAUACCAAGAAGUCAUCAUCAUCAUCAUCAUCG